GAUGAAGAACGUAGCGAAAUGCGAUAAGUAAUGUGAAUUGCAGAAUUCAGUGAAUCAUCGAAUCUUUGAACGCACCUUGCACCCUUUGGCAUUCCGAAGGGUAUGCUCGUUUGAGUGUCAUUGUACUCUCACUCUCCCGAUGCUUUUGGAUCGGGAGUGGUGGACUUGGGUGUUGCUGCUUUGCUGUGGCUCGCCUCAAAUGGAGUAGUGCAACUCUUGGUUGGACAUAGUACGGCGUGAUAAGUGUCUUCGCCGGCGCCUCAUUAUAGAGGGUGGCCGAUCGGGAGCUCUGUGCUUCAAACCGUCUUCGGACAACAUCUGACAACUUGACCUCAAAUCGAGUAAGACUACCCGCUGAACUUAAGCAUAUCAAUAAGCGGAGA
Molecule: unclassified non-coding RNA, 383 nt
Filed under: soil metagenome
Description: partial contains 5.8S ribosomal RNA, internal transcribed spacer 2, and large subunit ribosomal RNA
Rfam family: 5.8S ribosomal RNA (bases 1-120)
Source: RNAcentral